This 914-nucleotide ribosomal RNA is filed under the name uncultured archaeon. RNAcentral's name for it is "bacterial SSU rRNA". It matches the Rfam family "Archaeal small subunit ribosomal RNA", at positions 1 to 922 of the family's 1478-position model. The record is from RNAcentral.
UUCCGGUUGAUCCUGCCGGACCUGACUGCUAUCGGAUUGAUACUAAGCCAUGCGAGUCAUUGUAGUAAUACAAGGCAUACGGCUCAGUAACGCGUAGUCAACCUAACCUAUGGACGGGAAUAACCUCGGGAAACUGAGUAUAAUGCCCGAUAGAACAUUAUGCCUGGAAUGGUUUAUGUUCCAAAUGAUUUAUCGCCGUAGGAUGGGACUGCGGCCUAUCAGUUUGUUGGUGAGGUAAUGGCCCACCAAGACUAUUACAGGUACGGGCUCUGAGAGGAGUAGCCCGGAGAUGGGUACUGAGACACGGACCCAGGCCCUAUGGGGCGCAGCAGGCGAGAAAACUUUGCAAUGUGCGAAAGCACGACAAGGUUAAUCCGAGUGGUUUCUGCUAAAGGAACCUUUUGUUAGUCCUAGAAACACUAACGAAUAAGGGGUGGGCAAGUUCUGGUGUCAGCCGCCGCGGUAAAACCAGCACCUCAAGUGGUCAGGAUGAUUAUUGGGCCUAAAGCAUCCGUAGCCGGCUCUGUAAGUUUUCGGUUAAAUCUGUACGCUCAACGUACAGGCUGCCGGGAAUACUGCAGAGCUAGGGAGUGGGAGAGGUAGACGGUACUCGGGAGGAAGGGGUAAAAUCCUUUGAUCUCUCGAUGACCACCUGUGGCGAAGGCGGUCUACCAGAACACGUCCGACGGUGAGGGAUGAAAGCUGGGGGAGCAAACCGGAUUAGAUACCCGGGUAGUCCCAGCUGUAAACUAUGCAAACUCAGUGAUGCAUUGACUUGUGGUCAAUGCAGUGCUGCAGGGAAGCCGUUAAGUUUGCCGCCUGGGAAGUACGUACGCAAGUAUGAAACUUAAAGGAAUUGGCGGGGGAGCACCACAAGGGGUGAAGCCUGCGGUUCAAUUGGAGUCAACGCCGGA